UUAUGUGGCUUUUGUGAUUUCACCUGAAAUUGUUCAGGUUUAAUGGACGGUGGAGUCUGAUGUUUGCAUGUUUGGAGAAUGUCGCUGAAUAUUGAUGUGGAGAUAUGGGAUGGAGAUCAACCAUGAAUGGGCCUGCUAAAAGGAGAACCUUUGUGGAUGAAGUGCUUCUCAAGACAUUUGGUUUGGAGCUGGAGGAUGUCGACUGUGUUCAAGAUUUUCCAGGUUGUUUUGCACAGACUGUUAAACCAGAGGACGAGAGGGCCCCUUUCUUCAAAGCAUUUCAUUGAUCCAAUCACAUUAUUUUCCAUUUGUACAAA
This is a non-coding RNA of Lepisosteus oculatus (spotted gar), 317 nucleotides long. Lineage: Eukaryota; Metazoa; Chordata; Actinopteri; Semionotiformes; Lepisosteidae. The record is from RefSeq and is a predicted model, not a curated record.